Molecule: long non-coding RNA, 402 nt
Filed under: Populus tremula
Lineage: Eukaryota; Viridiplantae; Streptophyta; Magnoliopsida; Malpighiales; Salicaceae
Description: long non-coding RNA (PTRE_LNC000181)
Source: RNAcentral
AUUUAGAAUGUGUGUCCAUAUUUUCUUCCUGUGCAGAAAUGAACAAGGAGAAUCUGACAUACCUACCUGCUAUUAUUUAGAGGACGGGUGCUGGCGUCCUUGAUGAUUUUAAAGCAAAUCACCUUGCUGUGUACUGUUUCAUUUCAGAGUCUUUCUGCUUGCAUUUCACAGCAGCAGUCCUCGCGACUGUGCAACCUGGACUGGUGCCUUGGAACGGAACUUGCAAGAAUGAGUCAAGAUUCCCGAUUAUUUGAAUGCUUUUCUAGGUUCCUUUCACAUUCAAUUUCUUGUGAUUGAAGUAAGAAUGCACAAGCAAUCAUGCCUUUCUUUCUCAACCAUAUCUUUUCCUACCCUUAAAAGUUUCAAGCCAUUUACCUUUUUCAUACUAUUCUAGAGUUCUUU